This is a long non-coding RNA of Dermochelys coriacea (leatherback sea turtle), 4062 nucleotides long. RefSeq lists it as uncharacterized. NCBI's taxonomy places the organism in Eukaryota, Metazoa, Chordata, Testudines, Dermochelyidae. The record is from RefSeq and is a predicted model, not a curated record. The transcript has 3 exons.
ACAAUGUACGAGGCAGUAGCAUUUCAGGCCCACCAAGUUUCUGAAAUACUUUUUCCUUUCCUGCAAACUUUCUGCAUUAGCUCCAGUUUCCUUAGUGAAGUAGUUAGUCAAGGCUGGACUCACAUUUUUCCUUUAUACUGUAUUUGAUUUACAUCGGUUCAAGGAAAUGGUAAUGUGCAACAGUGACUUUGGAAUUUAAACAGCAGCCCACAAGGGAUUUCUAAACUGCAGGCCAACUUCCAAAUAUGGGAGCAUAUAAGCAGCUGCAGCAGUAGUAGUGCAGAAAGCCAUCCUUAGUAUGAGAAGAAGCAAAAUUCAGAGCUUGCCAAUACCUGGAAUAUAUGGGCCUCUUCAAAUGUAUUACUUGCAUUAGUCAAAAUAAGGGAUGAAAUAAAUAUGCUUCUGCAGCUGGAAAGGCAAAUACCAUGGAGGUUUCAUCAUAUUGGGACGAGCACUAGAGCGGCAAAAUCAACAUUUCCCCAUAAUCAUCACAGUUUUAGUGUGUUAAUGGUGCAUGUACCCCAAGAGUUCAGAUGCUUGUGCAGGCUUCAACCAAGGUAUCCCCAUCUCUUGAGUCUGCAAACUUGCCUUGAGGUCUUAAGAGUUUCUCUUCUCACAUGAGAAAACUGGUGGUAUUUACUACCAUCCCUGGCCAGAAAUUCAUUCAGAACAGACUUUCUGAUUCAGGCCCAUGAGCUUUAGGCCCCAGUCUUGCAAACACUUGUUCAAAGGCUUCACAGAAUCAGGGCCAUAAGGCACAGCACCUUCAGGGUCACUGUUUUAGAAAAAUAGGAAAGUGGAGGAGUAAUAGCAGCAAAGGGUUCUAAGAAGGAGUGGGCUGAUUAACAUGUAUUUAACUAUUUCAGAUAUGCCAGCUUUCUGGCCUUGAGAAGCAGGGAUAGCUGUGUGUCAGGCAUGUGCAGCUGAGUAGUGCCACGCAGUCUAGCGGAGUGCAGAGCCAGACAAGGCAAGCCAGCUCUGAGAGCAAAGGGCUGCAGAGUGGUGGCUGUUUCUAAUGUGCCACUAUUGUAUUGUUUGCGAAAACAACCAACCAGUUCUGGCCCCCUUGCUGACUGCCUCUCAGCAGGGGUUAAACCCUUUAACUGGGCUGAGAGGAUAUACCUAACCCACAGAAAGUACUGGCAGCUGUUGCCAAUUAGGCUGCUGGGAGGUGGAAUUAACAACUUUCCUCGCCCCCACCCCCGCAAACUGAGAAGCCGUAAAAAAAGCAAGCCUGGAAUGGAUGCCCUUUUGAAGAAGAAACAGCUUCUGUCUCCCUUCUCCGCGUGAGAGGGAAUAGGUAGGAGUUUUCUGGAGUGAGGGGCAAGCCCCUCAGAAAGAGAUGUGAAACUUACUGAUUAAAGGAACUGUAGUAGCUGUAAGUCAGACUGUUUUAUCUUUGGGUUUCCCUUUGGACUGGAUUGAAGGAAGCUACCUUGUUUGCAUUUUGUUCUUAAAUGGACUGGGCUAAUAGAAGCUGGUUUUGGACUUUGAUGUUUCCAAAGCUAGGGCAUGAGGCAUUGGCCCUGUUAUUGUGUUGUCACUGUGACACCAGUGUUGAACCUGCAUUAAACAAUUUUUUUUAAAGGGGUUGCAAGAUUGUUAAUUUGUUGUUGUUGCACAGAUGUUAGUCUCUCUCCCGCAAGAAAACCUUCCUCUUUCACUAUCUUAAGGCUUGUCUACAUUACCCGCUGGAUUGAUGGGCAGCGAUCGAUCCAGCGGGGGUCGAUCUAUCGCAUCUAGUUUAGACAUGAUAGAUCAAUCCAGCUGGGUGCUCUCCCAUCGACUCCAGUACUCCACCAGGCGUGAGGCACAGGCAGAGUCAACAGGAGAGCGUCUGCUGUUGACUUACCACAGUGAAGACACCACAUUUCAGUAAUGGUUGCCUUUUGGAUUUGAGACACUUAGUUGUUGAGGCCAUUGCUAUGGAAUUGGGCCUUGCAGUCUUUCUGGACUUGGAGUUGGAAAGGGUAUCCUAGGCAGGGCAUGCAAGGUAAGGUGAUACAGUUAGCUAAUUAUUCUCACAUACUUAGUGUGAAUUAGCAGAAGGAGGAGUAUGGACUUGGGAAAAUCAGACAUGUCCACAGUAUAUCAGACUUUUCCACAUCGUAUUUGUUGGCACUGGUUUAUUUCACACACAACCUAUUUAAAAGGUCAUCGGAGAACAGGAGUAGAACAAAUAAAUGAGUGGAAUACAGUACAGAUGACACUUCUCAGUCUCCCUAACUGUUAGUGUGUUACUUUAAAGGGAGUGAGGCCAGUCCUUUCUGCUGGUUUUGCCUGACUCUUAUUCCAUGUGUCUCGCGGCUCUUGUGCAGUGGCUUGUCUGUCUUGUUAGUGUUUUAUCCAUUGUUGCGCCUUUUGGAAGCUAUAUUACUUUGGGGCUGGUCUAAACAUCAAACGUGGGUUUGCAUAGCUAUGGUGCACAGCUAUGUUGAUGGAAGAAUGCUUCCUACCUAUCAUCGCUCAGGGAGGUAAAACUCCUGCAGUAAUGAGAAAACCCUUUCCAUCACUGGAGUCUGUGUCUACACUAUUGGGGUUAUGUUGGCAUAGUUACACGUCUGUACCUAUGGCCAUGUCUGCAUUACAAAAUUAAGUCAACCUAAAAUACGUCUGCAUACAGCAACCACAUUAAUUACAUUGCUUGCGCAUGUCCACACUACACCCCUUGUGUUGGGGUGCGUGUCCUCACUAGGACUGCUUGUAUUGAUGUAGAGUGAAGUACACCAUGGGUAGCUAUCCCACUGUGAAGUUCAUUCACAUCCAGCGCAGGGUGUUUUGGGAAGUUUCCGCAAUGCCUCAUGGGGCCGAAACAAAUCAUACAGGUGUGACUGGGAGCAUGGGUUCAACUUCCCAUAAUGCAGUGUUGGCAUCCCAUAAUAUGUUGCACCUCUCUUCAAAAUCCCACAAACAGGCCCAUCCUUCCUCACUGUCCAUGGAGCCUGCAGAGCUCUGCACUAUUUUGAUGAGUGUUGUGAGCACAGGCUGCCUGAUCCUGUCGUAUUCAAAAUUGUUGGCAAUGUUCCCGGAGCAGCUUCAGAUUGUGGAAAGCCAGUUCUGGGUCUGAGAAAUAAGCACCGACUGGUGGGAUUGCAUUGUCAUGCACAUUUGGGUUGACAAGUCGUGGCUGCAGAACUUUUGGAUGUGCAAGGCUCCAUUCCUGGAACUGUGUACCACUCACUCCAGCCCUCCAGCAUAGUGACACCAAAAUGAGACCUGCACUGACCAUGUAGAAGUGAGUGAUGAUCGCAGUGGGGAAACCUGCAAUGCCAAAUUGCUACCAGUCAGUCAGGCAUGAAUUUGGAGUUGGGGAAUCCACUGUUGUGAUCCAAGUGCACAGGGCCAUUUAUCACCUCCUGCUAUGAAGGACAGUAACUCUGGGCAAUAUGCAGGAUAUAGUGGGUGGUUUUGCAGCAAUGGAGUUACCUAACUGUGAUGGGAUAAUAGAUUGCAUGCAUAUCCCUAUUUUGGCACCAGACACUUUGCAACAGAGUACAGCAACAGAAAGGGCUACUUUUUAUGAUAAUGCAAGCACUGGUGAAUCACUGGGGAAGCUUUACUGACAUGAGGGAAGGGGCAUGGUGUGUGCAUCAUUAAGCACAAAGGACUGUUCAGAAAGCUGCAAGCAGGGGCUUUCUUUCCCAACUGGCACAUUACCACUGGUGAUGUUGAAAUGCCAGUAGUGAUCCUGGGAGACCCAGCCUACCCCUUGCUCCCAUGGCCAUGGAGCCAGGCAUCUUGACAGCACCAAAGAGUGAUUCAACUACAGGCUGAGCAGGUGCAGAAUGACUGUUGAAUGUGCUUUUGUUUUUUUAAAAGGUUGCUCAUGCUGUCUACUCAUGAGAUUUGGACCUCAGUGGAAAAAAAAUUCCAAUGGUUAUAGCUGCCUACUGUGUCCUGCAAAAUAUCCAUGAAGCAAAGGAGGAAAAGUUUUCACUGGGUUGCAGGCAAAGGUGGAGUGGCUGUCUGCUGAUUUUUAAACACCAGAUAUGAGGGCUAUAAGGAGAGCUCAAUGCGGAGUUAUUCAACUUUGAAAGAUCAUUUUAAUAGUGAACCAGAGUA